AGAGAGUGGCCAUGCGCUCGCAGCGCGCGCUCACUGGGUCUUGUGGUUUCCGGUCUGGUCCAAUCACCGCGCGAGGAGCAGAGCUCGUCUCAUUCAAACACAAACAGUCUGAACGCGUUCUCCUCCUGGACGGAACCAUGCGGUUCCCCGGUUCGGUUCUGGUCUUCGUUCUGCUCGUUUUCUACGUUUCCGGGUCAUCAGGUUCCCUGGUGGCCCGAUCUGUGUUUGCCCACACUGGCUUGAGUGGACAAUCAGUGGUCCGGGUAGUGGAGAUCGCUAACUCGCUACGCUUUCCACCAGGCGGCUGGUUAGCAUCAGGACCCAGACAAAGCUGAUGUAGGGGCCACCAUGGAAUCCGCGGACAAACCCACCUGGGGACCAACAAUUCAGCCCAAAGCUAAACCAAACGGGGCCCAGAUUGAAAUGUUCACUGUAGUACUCGCGUGUUUGAAGUCUGACCUGAAAAUGUGUGUAUACUAGCGGUACACACGUGGAGCACAUGACUAAAGUGUUGAUUAUCAAAGAUGCAGAUCUGAAGAUCAUCACUGCUGCACCUGGAGAGGAUGUCAUUCUGACAUUUGAAGCUCCAGAAAACAUGAUAGCUUUGGAGUGGACCAGACUCGACUUCCAGGAGGGAGAAUAUGUGUUUGUAUACAGGAAUGGUGGUAUUAAUCUAGACGAGCAGCAUGAAUCCUUCAAGAAUCGAGUGUUUCUGAAUAUCAGUCAGAUGAAGAAUGGAGAUCUGUCUGUGGUUCUGAAGAACGUGACGGUUAAUGACAGCGGAACAUACCAGUUUUCAGGCAUACGAGAGCAUGAUCCAGAUAGAGAAAUGAUUCCGAUUGGCAGAGUCCGUCUGUCGGUGAUUCCUCCAGGGGACAAAGAUGAAGUCGGUCAUGGUCGUCUUGGUCUGAUCCCUCUGUCAGGUCUCCUACUUCUUACUUUUGUUGUCCUUGCUGUUGGUCUCUGGAUCUGCUGGACAAAAAAAGAUUCUAACCAAAGUUCCACAGGUUCCAACAACCAGCGGGGUGUUGAACUUGUGCCUCUUAACUCAGAUUCUAAAGCAGACGAAAGCAUGGCAGUUUCUCUAGUCUGA
This 1093-nucleotide long non-coding RNA is filed under the name Oryzias javanicus (javanese ricefish). RNAcentral's name for it is "lncRNA (ENSOJAG00000004309.1)". The record is from RNAcentral. Lineage: Eukaryota; Metazoa; Chordata; Actinopteri; Beloniformes; Adrianichthyidae.